GUGGGGAAUAUUGCACAAUGGGGGGAACCCUGAUGCAGCGACGCCGCGUGAGCGAAGAAGUAUCUCGGUAUGUAAAGCUCUAUCAGCAGGGAAGAAAGUGACGGUACCUGACUAAGAAGCCCCGGCUAACUACGUGCCAGCAGCCGCGGUAAUACGUAGGGGGCAAGCGUUAUCCGGAUUUACUGGGUGUAAAGGGAGCGCAGGCGGCGCGGUAAGUCUGAUGUGAAAGCCCGGGGCUCAACCCCGGGACUGCAUUGGAAACUGUCGUGCUGGAGUGUCGGAGGGGCAAGUGGAAUUCCUAGUGUAGCGGUGAAAUGCGUAGAUAUUAGGAGGAACACCAGUGGCGAAGGCGGCUUGCUGGACGACAACUGACGCUGAGGCUCGAAAGCGUGGGGAGCAAACAGG
This 405-nucleotide ribosomal RNA is filed under the name uncultured bacterium. Its description in RNAcentral is "bacterial SSU rRNA". It matches the Rfam family "Bacterial small subunit ribosomal RNA", at positions 354 to 776 of the family's 1533-position model. The record is from RNAcentral.